This 82-nucleotide microRNA precursor is filed under the name Chlorocebus sabaeus (green monkey). RNAcentral's name for it is "miRNA (ENSCSAG00000023710.1)". The record is from RNAcentral. Lineage: Eukaryota; Metazoa; Chordata; Mammalia; Primates; Cercopithecidae.
UGCUGUUGCAAUAGGUCUGGGUGGGGCCUCAGAUUCUACAUGUCUAAUAUGCUCUCAGGUGAUGCCUGUACUGAUGGUGCCA